GAUGAACGCUGGCGGCGUGCCUAAUACAUGCAAGUCGAGCGAACGGACGAGAAGCUUGCUUCUCUGAUGUUAGCGGCGGACGGGUGAGUAACACGUGGAUAACCUACCUAUAAGACUGGGAUAACUUCGGGAAACCGUAGCUAAUACCGGAUAAUAUUUUGAACCGCAUGGUUCAAAAGUGAAAGACGGUCUUGCUGUCACUUAUAGAUGGAUCCGCGCUGCAUUAGCUAGUUGGUAAGGUAACGGCUUACCAAGGCAACGAUGCAUAGCCGACCUGAGAGGGUGAUCGGCCACACUGGAACUGGGACACGGUCCAGACUCCUACGGGAGGCAGCAGUAGGGAAUCUUCCGCAAUGGGCGAAAGCCUGACGGAGCAACGCCGCGUGAGUGAUGAAGGUCUUCGGAUCGUAAAACUCUGUUAUUAGGGAAGAACAUAUGUGUAAGAACUGUGCACAUCUUGACGGUACCUAAUCAGAAAGCCACGGCUAACUACGUG
RNAcentral lists this ribosomal RNA (496 nucleotides) under uncultured bacterium. RNAcentral's name for it is "partial 16S ribosomal RNA". It matches the Rfam family "Bacterial small subunit ribosomal RNA", at positions 28 to 507 of the family's 1533-position model. The record is from RNAcentral.